RNAcentral lists this ribosomal RNA (253 nucleotides) under uncultured bacterium. RNAcentral describes it as "partial 16S ribosomal RNA". It matches the Rfam family "Bacterial small subunit ribosomal RNA", at positions 524 to 776 of the family's 1533-position model. The record is from RNAcentral.
UACGGGGGGAGCAAGCGUUGUUCGGAAUUACUGGGCGUAAAGGGCUCGUAGGCGGCCAACUAAGUCGGACGUGAAAUCCCCAGGCUCAACCUGGGAACUGCGUCCGAUACUGGAUGGCUUGAAUUCGGGAGAGGGAUGCAGAAUUCCAGGUGUAGCGGUGAAAUGCGUAGAUAUCUGGAGGAAUACCGGUGGCGAAGGCGGCAUCCUGGACCGACAUUGACGCUGAGGAGCGAAAGCUAGGGGAGCAAACGGG